Molecule: ribosomal RNA, 1221 nt
Filed under: Klebsiella pneumoniae
Lineage: Bacteria; Pseudomonadati; Pseudomonadota; Gammaproteobacteria; Enterobacterales; Enterobacteriaceae
Description: bacterial LSU rRNA
Rfam family: Bacterial large subunit ribosomal RNA
Source: RNAcentral
GAGAAGGCACGCUGGUGUGUAGGUGAAGUCCCUGCGGAUGGAGCUGAGACCAGUCGAAGAUACCAGCUGGCUGCAACUGUUUAUUAAAAACACAGCACUGUGCAAACACGAAAGUGGACGUAUACGGUGUGACGCCUGCCCGGUGCCGGAAGGUUAAUUGAUGGGGUUAUCCGUAAGGAGAAGCUCUUGAUCGAAGCCCCGGUAAACGGCGGCCGUAACUAUAACGGUCCUAAGGUAGCGAAAUUCCUUGUCGGGUAAGUUCCGACCUGCACGAAUGGCGUAAUGAUGGCCAGGCUGUCUCCACCCGAGACUCAGUGAAAUUGAACUCGCUGUGAAGAUGCAGUGUACCCGCGGCAAGACGGAAAGACCCCGUGAACCUUUACUAUAGCUUGACACUGAACAUUGAGCCUUGAUGUGUAGGAUAGGUGGGAGGCUUUGAAGCGUGGACGCCAGUCUGCGUGGAGCCAACCUUGAAAUACCACCCUUUAAUGUUUGAUGUUCUAACGUUGGCCCCUUACCGGGGUUGCGGACAGUGUCUGGUGGGUAGUUUGACUGGGGCGGUCUCCUCCCAAAGCGUAACGGAGGAGCACGAAGGUUAGCUAAUCCUGGUCGGACAUCAGGAGGUUAGUGCAAUGGCAUAAGCUAGCUUGACUGCGAGCGUGACGGCGCGAGCAGGUGCGAAAGCAGGUCAUAGUGAUCCGGUGGUUCUGAAUGGAAGGGCCAUCGCUCAACGGAUAAAAGGUACUCCGGGGAUAACAGGCUGAUACCGCCCAAGAGUUCAUAUCGACGGCGGUGUUUGGCACCUCGAUGUCGGCUCAUCACAUCCUGGGGCUGAAGUAGGUCCCAAGGGUAUGGCUGUUCGCCAUUUAAAGUGGUACGCGAGCUGGGUUUAGAACGUCGUGAGACAGUUCGGUCCCUAUCUGCCGUGGGCGCUGGAGAAUUGAGGGGGGCUGCUCCUAGUACGAGAGGACCGGAGUGGACGCAUCACUGGUGUUCGGGUUGUCAUGCCAAUGGCACUGCCCGGUAGCUAAAUGCGGAAGAGAUAAGUGCUGAAAGCAUCUAAGCACGAAACUUGCCCCGAGAUGAGUUCUCCCUGAGACUUUAAGUCUCCUGAAGGAACGUUGAAGACGACGACGUUGAUAGGCCGGGUGUGUAAGCGCAGCGAUGCGUUGAGCUAACCGGUACUAAUGAACCGUGAGGCUUAACCUUACAACGCCGAAG